Macaca mulatta (Rhesus monkey) is the source of this 1072-nucleotide non-coding RNA. The record is from RefSeq and is a predicted model, not a curated record. Lineage: Eukaryota; Metazoa; Chordata; Mammalia; Primates; Cercopithecidae.
AACAAACUCUGAAUACACCAUCUUUAAGAACUGUAACACUCACCGUGAGGUUCCGCGGCUUCAUUCUAGAAGUCAGUGAGACUAAGAACCCACCAAUUCCGGACACAGUAUGACAUCAUAGGAGAUCGAGAAUAUGCGCCCAACUUUCAUGCUCGAACUGAAACUUUUUUUUCUAACAAAUAUGCUCUGGCAUCAUCAAGGAGUCUACUGUGUUUACCAAAUUAUGUAAGCUGGGAAAAUCAGUACAAAAGUUUAUUGUGUUUUACCUCAUUGUUUUUAAACGUUUUGAAUUGAUGACUUGCAGUGACAAGACUGAGAGAAGAUUAAAUAUAAAUGAAAGAAUAAUGACAUUAAGUAAGGUAAACCAUGUCACAUGAUGUCUGAAGAAGAAAGAAUUAAAAAGUUGGCUUCUUGAAAAGCAACUGAAAUGUGAUAUGAAUCAAAAAAUUGGGAAUAACACUUGCGAGAUUUUUCUUCUUUGAGUGAAGUCUUCUCACAUUCAGUUUCCACUUUUCUGAACUUCCAGGUUAUCCAGAAUAAAAUAAUUUAAAGUAACUAAUACAAACAAACAACAUGAUUUAUAAAGAAAAGAAGUUUGUUUGGCCCACAGCUCUGGAGACUGGAAGUCCAAGGGCAGAGUGCUGUCAUCUGCUCAGCAUUUGAUAUAAGCUGCCAGAAUAGACAAUCGGUGAACCUAAAGAUCAAUCAAUAAAGAUCGCUCAAUUGAAAGCACAAAAAGUAAAAAGAAAAAUAAAAAGUCCCAAAGUCCAUUAGAACACCAUUAAACAAAAUGACCUGAGUCUAACAUGAGUCCAAGAUGCAGAGGCAAGAGAGAGUGAUGAAGGAAGAAAAUGGAAAAAUAAUGAAUAAAAACUUCCCACAGUUGAUGAAAAAGAUUAACUUGUACAUCUAGGAGUUCUGCCAGCAUGAAAGCUUUGAACUUGAAGUGCAACAUCAGCUGUUUCCCAGGUCUCUAGCCUGAUCCUCUUUGAACUUCAACUAUAAAUUUUGGGGCUUGCCAGACUCCAUAAUUGUAUGAACCAAUUCCUUAAAAUAAAUCUCUUUUGAUAUA